Molecule: unclassified non-coding RNA, 242 nt
Filed under: Yazd(Iran) carrot witches'-broom phytoplasma
Lineage: Bacteria; Bacillati; Mycoplasmatota; Mollicutes; Acholeplasmatales; Acholeplasmataceae
Description: partial miscellaneous RNA
Rfam family: tRNA (bases 88-161)
Source: RNAcentral
CCUCCUUUCUAAGGAAACCAAUAAAAUCAAUCAUCUUCAGUUUUGAAAGACUUAGGAUAACUAAGUUUUUCUUCGUGACUUCACGAAGGGCCUAUAGCUCAGUUGGUUAGAGCACACGCCUGAUAAGCGUGAGGUCGGUGGUUCAAGUCCAUUUAGGCCCACCAGAGUUAUAGGUGUCGUAAGAACACAAAUUCUUUGAAAAUUAGGUAAAUAAUAGUUAUUUUUCCGGAACAUUAAAGGAA